Molecule: ribosomal RNA, 460 nt
Filed under: uncultured bacterium
Lineage: Bacteria
Description: partial 16S ribosomal RNA
Rfam family: Bacterial small subunit ribosomal RNA
Source: RNAcentral
CCUACGGGCGGCUGCAGUGAGGAAUAUUGGUCAAUGGACGAGAGUCUGAACCAGCCAAGUAGCGUGAAGGAUGACUGCCCUAUGGGUUGUAAACUUCUUUUAUAAAGGAAUAAAACGAGGCACGUGUGCCUUUUUGCAUGUACUUUAUGAAUAAGGAUCGGCUAACUCCGUGCCAGCAGCCGCGGUAAUACGGAGGAUCCGAGCGUUUUCCGGAUUUAUUGGGUUUAAAGGGAGCGUAGAUGGGUUGUUAAGUCAGUUGGGAAAGUUUGCGGCUCAACCGUAAAAUUGCAAUUGAUACUGGCAGUCUUGAGUACAGUUGAGGUAUGCGGAAUUCGUGGUGUAGCGGUGAAAUGCUUAGAUAUCACGAAGAACCCCGAUUGCGAAGGCAGCUUACUAAACUGUGACUGACAUUGAUGCUCGAAAGUAUGGGUAUCAAACAGGAUUAGAUACCCUUGUAGUC